Molecule: long non-coding RNA, 5539 nt
Organism: Equus caballus (horse)
Lineage: Eukaryota; Metazoa; Chordata; Mammalia; Perissodactyla; Equidae
Source: Ensembl
GUCAGGACAUCAUGUAUGUUAGGCAUAUGGUGUAUUGGGAAUAAUUCAUUACUGAAGUUGGAAAAUGAUUGACUUCUUUAAUAAGUCAGAGCCAAUUCUAGGUGAUUCCUAUAACAGCGGCAACUCCACUUACUCUUUCUUUUGGGAGAGAGAGCUGUGGACAUCUGCACUGGGAACAAAAUAAAAUAAAAUAGCUCAAGGUCUAUUUUAUCUAUGCCCCAGGCUCUUAAUUCUUGUGAUGAUAAAAACUGUUAUUGUUGGUAGUGCCUCCCUUCACUCCCUUCCCAUUUUGGUGUUUCAAUAAAAUCUCUGUACAUCCAGGCAGUGUGCAGCACAUGGAAAUGUCAACCAACCAUAAUAGUAGAGUAAGAAGUGGCAAGAGGAGAAAACUUAAAUACCUGAGCUUCUCUUGGUCAGUUUUACAAUCAACUUGUGCAAUAUAAACCUAGAAAUAUCCAUGCUAAGUAUGACCAUAAGAAAUUGCCAAUAUUUGACCAUUUCUGACCCACAAAAGCAGCAAUUUCUUAUGGUUCAAUUUAAUACUAUUCACAUUGCAUUGAAACAAACUGGUGAACAGACUGAAAAAAAUCCUCCAAUCCUACCCAGUGGAUCUCCAGGAAGGGGAAGGAGGCUACCCAACAUGUUUUUAUUUUGUUUUGUUUUGUUUUGUUUCAUUCCAUUUUUAACAAAGGGACUUCACCAAUACACACUGCUACAAAUGCUUCCUUGUUUUUACCCAUGUUUGGGUAUAUACAUCUGAGAACAGCAGUGGAAUUUCUCCCUCAGCUCUGGACUGUUCAUCGCUGAGAGAAAGUGCAUCAGCAGAGUUUAAGAAUGGUUCUUCUAAAUCCUCUAGAAAUGGAAAGCUAUUAUCUUUAAGUUUCUGAGGAAGCAUCUAAAAAAGAGAAAUAAUUUAUCCUUUUACUUGAACUUCUCUGAGUUUCUCCAUCAGUCCCAAGGUACUAUUUACCUGCCGCUAUAAUUUGACCCCAAAAUACACAUAAAAAUGAGAUAAUGUGUGUGAAGGAUUUAGAAGAAUAACUGUAUUCUUUUUGUUAUAUUUUAAUUUCUCAGGCUAAUCUGUUGUUGUUGCAAAGAGGGCAUUCACCAAAUGUAUUAUAAAUAAGCAUUACCUUGCUCAAAAUCUUUCAACAUGGGAAGUUUUAUUUCCUUAAUGUAUUUACAUGUAUACAGGGAACCAGGUCAUCCAUUGCCAAGAUCGUAACAUAACAAUCUCAAAACAAAGGUGUGGCUACAAGGAGUUUAAACAUUGACUUCCUCUUUUUACUACUAAACUGCCAUAAACACAGAAAUGCUCAGCUCUUCAGGCCUUGCCCUUUCAUCACAAACUAAAAGUCUACACAUGGGGGAAAUGCCCUAUCAAGCAAAGGCCAAUUCAGAUCAGAACAGGUGUUAGGGGUAUCUUUACCUGUGGAUAUUUCCAGAAGAUUUCAUUCCUCAAAGAGGAAGGGAAAAAGAAUAUGGAGAAGAACAAAAAUGCUUGAUUGAUCGUUCCUUGAUUACUGAACAAUAACCAUACAAUUUAUUUUUUCGACAUACAAUGGCAUGGCUAGUUGUAUUCAUCUGCUCAGACUGCUGUGACAGAAUCCCAGAGACGAGGUGGCUUAAACAAUAGACUUUAUUUUUCACUGUUCUGGAGGCUGGGAAAUCCAAGGUCAAGAUGUCAGCAGAUUUGGUUCUUGAUGAGGGCUCUCUUUCUGGCUUACAGAUGGCCCCUUCUUGCUGCAUCUUCAUGUGGCAGAGAGGGGGAGAGGGGGGGGGGGAGAGAAAGAGAGAGACAGAGAAAGAGAGAGAGAACACACAUUCUGGUGUGUCUUCCUCUUCUUACGAGGGCACUAACCCCAUUGUGAAGCCCCUACCCUCAGGACCUCAUCUAGAUCUAAUUGUGUCCCAAAGGCUCUACUCCCUUUGCCAUCACAUCAGAGGUUGGGGCUUCAAAAUACGAAUUUGGAGGGGAUACAAUUCAGUCCACAGCACUAGUUAACAACAGCAAAAUUACCUCUCAAAAGUUCUAAUUCAUUUUAAAAAGCACUUGGUAGACAUCUGAAUGUAACAAAUAUUAAUAAAAUACAGAAUGGCCAUUUUAAAACUAAUGUCCUCAAUGUUCUAGACCCAUCUUGCAUCUUUAGUAAACAAUGGCUACACACCAGGAAGCAUAGAUUAGCUUUUCCUUGGAGUAUUUAUAUUUCCUUUCUUUCUAUUCUCCUGGCCUUUUUUUUUUUUUUUUUAACAAUUUGGCUUAGUGUGCUAAAAAUAGUUUGUGCACACUGUUGUUCCUUUUAGCUUCAUUGUUACCAACUGAUUUCUAAUUGUCUUUGAGACUUGGAAAAUCUCCUGUGAAUGGAGGGAGCUCACGAGCAGGUUAAUGCAACCCUGGAUGGGGGCCACAGCUCCUCCAGUCUCUUCAGCCCUCCCACUCCACCCCUCUUCAUCAUACAUCCUUUUGGAAUUUAUUUCUGCCUGUGUUGAAUCUGGGUAUUCAAUGCUCUCGGUUACUAUAGUUAGAUAGACUCUAUUUUUAGUUACAAACUGUUUCCCUGAGCUACAUACAGCUGCUCAUUAACGCUGGAAGCCUCUUUCACAAAGCUUGUGUUCUCGUCCUUCCUUUUCAAUGCCCAAUAGGCUUAUGAGAGAAAAUACAAACACUGGUUAUAUUUGGUUUUCUACUCAGCCAUGUCAAGUCCUAAACUGAGAGGAAGUUAUAAAUAUACUACAGGAAAAUGCUCUCUUUUCCCUUAAGUAGCAGUUUACUGCCACACGAUAUUGUGGUAGAAAGGGUAGCGAGGAGCCUAUAUUGAAAUAAGAGGUUAAGUAAAUUAAAAUUUGACUUUUUGAAGGCAUUGUCCAGUAUGUGGGGUUGGUGUUUUCACUACAUGGCGCUGAAGAGUGCCUGAGACACACUAGGCACUCAUUCUAUGUUUGCGGAACUCAGAACAGUAGUCAAUGUGUAGCAGGUAUUCAAAAAAGGUUGAUUGCUUGAAUGAAUACAUUAUUUUCCAUAGUUUACCCUUUGAGAUCGGAGAGAUCUUCUUUGAAGCAAAUUCCUUGGAAAGAUAACUUCCUCGAGGUGAAACUGGGGAUUCCUCUUUCUCUUUCACCUUUGUGGAGAAAAGUGUUUAAGUUGCUGGAAGGCAGAGCUGGAAGGUUGGAAAGACCCUCUGCACAAAUGAGCGUUUCCUGAAGACUUGGAGAUGAAAGUGAUUCUGUAGGUUUGCACAAGGCUGUGCUUCCUUCCUGCUCCCUUCACACAAUGGCUCUUCAGUCUGCAUUACAUCACUGCCCUGCCUUUUGGCUGCUCUAAAUUAACUGCUGGGAAUCAAGAAUCCAUUUCCACUGUAGAGAUGUUCAUCUCACUGUACAGAAGCAUGGCUAAGAGCUUCAAGAGGGAUCCCAGCUCCACCAGCGACCAGUUUUGUGACCUAGAUCAAACUGCUUAACCUCACUAAGUCUUGGCUGGGACCACUUGAAAUGGGGUUAGCAGGGUGACCCCCACUCUCUUUUCCCCCUCACUUCCUCCCUGAAUCACCAUUUGCUGUUUCUGGCCUCAAGAAGAUCCAGGCAGGGAGGAAGGAGCAGGAACCUGGCAAAAAGUUCUGACUUGCUUAGUGCUGUGGUAAAAUGAUCCCGUGCCCCCUGGGACAACAAGAUUGCUCAAGCUGACACUGUCUCUCGUGAGUGUUUUCAUGGGUUCUCUGGAAACCUGCUCCUGGGAUUCUCCAAAUAUAACUUUGUCAGGAGCACAGCCUUCUUCAUCAGGCCCUACUCAAUCCCCGUGGGCUUCUGUUCUCAGGACUCUCCACAGAUAGGAUCUCCAGGACAAUAUUCCAGCCAAGGGUACCUUAGCUGGGUCAUGUCCCUUGACCUUCAGAGGGCAGGGUCGGAAGUUCUCAGAGGUAGGCCGUGCUCUGCUGGGACAGCCACUUUGGUUUGCUUAGGUUUGUGUCAGGCACCUAUUCUGACCUAUAGCUACAGAGAUUAGAGCUAGCUCAAAGGAGAAGGUACUCCCAACUCCAGCCCUUGGAGAGUAUUGGGGCUUCCAGCAAAACUCUUUCCACAAAAAUCCUCCUCACAAAUCAUCUCCUAAUUUGAGUGUUCUUGACCCUUUAAUAUCCUUCAUCUAGGUGAGAGUCACUAGGGUAAGGAAUCCAAGAGAUAAAACUGGUCUAGAAUAUAUCUUUUGAAAUGUGUACAUGGAUGAUCUUCUCAUAGGUGAAUUUGUAUCUAACAUUUAUUGCAUCUAUUAAAAAAUUGAGAUAUAAUUCAUAAACCACAAGAUUCCCUUGUUUAAAGUGUACAAUUCAGUGGAUUUCAGUAUGUUCCCGAGGUUGGGCAACCAUCACCACUAUCUACUUCCAGAACAUUACCAUCACCCUAAAAAAGAAUCCUCACUCUCAUUAGCAGUCACUCCUCAUUCUCCUCUCCCCACAUCCCUGAAAACUACUGAUCUACUUUCUGUCUCUAUGGAUUUUCCUAUUCUGGACAUUUCGUAAACAUGGAAUCAUAUAAGACAUGACUUCUUUCACUUAGCAUAGUAUUUUCAAGGUUCAUCCAUAUUGUAGUACAUAUCAGUAUUUCUUUUCUUAUUAUGGCUGAAUAAUACAUUGUAUAGAUAUGCCUCAUUUUGUUUAUUCAUUCAUCAGUUGGUGGGUAUCUGGGUUAUUUUGAUUUUUUUUGGCUAUUAUGAACAAUAUGUACUAGUUUUUGUGUGGACAUGUGUUUUCAGUUCACUUGGGUAUAUAUCUAAGACUGAUAUUGCUAAGUGACAUUGUAACUCUGUGUUGAAUCUUUUGAGGAACUACCAGACUAUGUUUCAAAUGGCUAUACCGUUUUAUAAUCCCAAAUGUAUGCGGGUUCUGAUUUCUCUGCAUCCUUGUCAACACUUGUUAUUGUCUGUCUUGUUUAUUAUAGCCGUCCAAGUGGAUGUGAAAUGGUAUCUUAUUGUAAUUUUGAUUCGCAUUUCUCUAAUGACUAAUGAUGUUGACCAUCUUUCAUAUGCUUAUUGGCCAUUUGCAUAUCUUCUUUGGAGAAAUGUCUAUUCAAAUCCUUUGCCCAUUUUUUAAUUGGGUAAUUUGUCUUUUAUUGUUGACUCAUAAGAGUUCCUUAUGAAGUCUUAAUACUAGACUCUUAUCAGAUACAUGAUUUGCAAAUAUUUUCUCCCAUUCUGUGGGUUGUCUUUUCACUUUCUUAAUAGCAUUCUUUGAGGCAUAAAGGUUUUUAAUUUUGAUGAAGUCCAAUCUAUCUAUUUUUUCUUGUUUGCUUGUGUUUUAGGUGUCGUAUCUAAGAAAGCAUUGCUUAAUCCAAGGUCACAAAGAUUUACACCUAUGUUUUCUUUUAAGGGUUUUAUUAUUUUACCUGUUACUUUGAAGUCUUUGGUCCAUUUUGAGUUAAGUUUUUCUAUGUGGUGUGAGAAUGUAUUGCAUCUUGACACCACAUUAAAAUGUCCAACUCAGCAUCCUGUUACAAAAGUACAUCAAUUAUAUUUUUGUAAAUAAGAGGUGGCAAAAAAAAAAAUCCAUGC